Molecule: ribosomal RNA, 198 nt
Filed under: uncultured bacterium
Lineage: Bacteria
Description: partial 16S ribosomal RNA
Rfam family: Bacterial small subunit ribosomal RNA
Source: RNAcentral
GGCUGCAACUCGCCUACAUGAAGUCGGAAUCGCUAGUAAUCGCGGAUCAGCAUGCCGCGGUGAAUACGUUCCCGGGCCUUGUACACACCGCCCGUCACACCAUGAGAGUUUGUAACACCCAAAGCCGGUGGGGUAACCUUUUGGAGCCAGCCGUCUAAGGUGGGACAGAUGAUUGGGGUGAAGUCGUAACAAGGUAUC